CCUACGGGAGGCAGCAGUGAGGAAUAUUGGUCAAUGGGCGCGAGCCUGAACCAGCCAAGUAGCGUGAAGGAUGACUGCCCUACGGGUUGUAAACUCCUUUUAUCAAGGAAUAAAGUGAGGCACGUGUGCCUUUUGGUAUGUACUUUAUGAAUAAGGAUCGGUUAACUCCGUGCCAGCAGCCGCGGUAAUACGGAGGAUCCGAGUGUUAUCCGGUUUUAUUGGGUUUAAAGGGUGCGCAGGGGGAGGUGCAAGACAGCGGUAAAAUUGCGGGGCUCAAACCCGUACUGCCGUUGAAACUGCAGCCCUUGAGUGCGCGAGAAGUAUGAGGAAUGCGUGGUGUAGCGGUGAAAUGCAUAGAUAUCACGCAGAACUCCGAUUGCGAAGGCAGCAUACCGGCGCGCAACUGACGCUGAUGCACGAAAGCGUGGGUAUCGAACAGGAUUAGAUACCCGAGUAGUC
RNAcentral lists this ribosomal RNA (459 nucleotides) under uncultured bacterium. Its description in RNAcentral is "partial 16S ribosomal RNA". It matches the Rfam family "Bacterial small subunit ribosomal RNA", at positions 338 to 795 of the family's 1533-position model. The record is from RNAcentral.